Molecule: non-coding RNA, 82 nt
Organism: Potamilus streckersoni
Lineage: Eukaryota; Metazoa; Mollusca; Bivalvia; Unionida; Unionidae
Source: the annotation of a GenBank genome assembly
CCUACGGUUGCUUAGUGGUUAGAGCGUCCGUCUGAGAUGCGAGGGAUCGCGAGUUCGAACCCCGGCCGAGUCAUACCAAAGA